RNAcentral lists this ribosomal RNA (468 nucleotides) under uncultured bacterium. Its description in RNAcentral is "partial 16S ribosomal RNA". It matches the Rfam family "Bacterial small subunit ribosomal RNA", at positions 28 to 507 of the family's 1533-position model. The record is from RNAcentral.
GACGAACGCUGGCGGCGUGCUUAACACAUGCAAGUCGAACGGAAAGGUCCUGCUUUUGUGGGGUGCUCAAGUGGCGAACGGGUGAGUAACACGUGAGUAACCUGCCCUUGACUUUGGGAUAACUUCAGGAAACUGGGACUAAUACCGGAUAGGAGCUCCUGCUGCAUGGUGGGGGUUGGAAAGUUUCGGCGGUUGGGGAUGGAUCCGCGGCUUAUCAGCUUGUUGGGGGGGUGGCGGCUUACCACGGCUUUGACGGGUCGCCGGCCUGGGAGGGUGACCGGCCACAUUGGGACUGAGAGACGGCCCAGACUCCUACGGGAGGCAGCGGUGUGGAAUAUUGCACAAUGGGCGGAAGCCUGAUGCAGCAACGCCGCGUGCGGGAUAACGGCCUUCGGGUUGUAAACCGCUUUCGCCUGUGACGAAGCGUGAGUGACGGUAAUUGGUAAAGAAGCACCGGCUAACUACGUG